ACAGCAGUAGCCGCGGUAAUACAGAGGGUGCGAGCGUUAAUUGGAUUUACUGGGCGUAAAGCGUGCGUAGGCGGCUAAUUGAGUCGGAUGUGAAAUCCCCGAGCUUAACUUGGGAAUUGCAUUCGAUACUGGUUAGCUAGAGUGUGGGAGAGGAUGGUAGAAUUCCAGGUGUAGCGGUGAAAUGCGUAGAGAUCUGGAGGAAUACCGAUGGCGAAGGCAGCCAUCUGGCCUAACACUGACGCUGAGGUACGAAAGCAUGGGGAGCAAACAGGAUUAGAUACCCCCGUAGUCCCUGUCUCUUAUAC
RNAcentral lists this ribosomal RNA (305 nucleotides) under uncultured bacterium. RNAcentral's name for it is "partial 16S ribosomal RNA". It matches the Rfam family "Bacterial small subunit ribosomal RNA", at positions 508 to 807 of the family's 1533-position model. The record is from RNAcentral.